Non-coding RNA from Myotis davidii, 109 nucleotides. The record is from Rfam. NCBI's taxonomy places the organism in Eukaryota, Metazoa, Chordata, Mammalia, Chiroptera, Vespertilionidae.
GUGCUCACGUCAGCAGCACAUGUACUAAAAUUGCAAUGAUACGAAGAAGAUUGGCAUGGCCUCUAUACAAGGAUGACACACAAACCAACCAACCAACCAACCAACCAAU